Mus caroli (Ryukyu mouse) is the source of this 332-nucleotide long non-coding RNA. RefSeq lists it as uncharacterized. NCBI's taxonomy places the organism in Eukaryota, Metazoa, Chordata, Mammalia, Rodentia, Muridae. The record is from RefSeq and is a predicted model, not a curated record.
UAGUGAAGGAGAAGCUCUGCUCCCAGGAGCCUUUUUUCACCUCAGGCAUUUCAUUUACUCCAGGAAAUCUCCACUAGCAAUGAAGAGGGAGCCCAAAUGUGGCACGUGCUGUCAUUGCUUAGCAUCCCAACAGUGUGCUUUGUCUGGCAGUGGGCAGCUUGCUAAGGCAAAAUGAAAAUCUCAUUGUGGUUUCAGAUGAAGAAAGUGACACAUGAUUGCAUUUGAAUCUAAACUCAUAAACUUCUUAAGUGCUGGAACAAAUAUGAAAAUCAGCUAUCUCAGAAUAUUAAGUGGAUGGUGGAUACCCUUCAACUGUAUGUGAUGAGCUGCUA